RNAcentral lists this unclassified non-coding RNA (346 nucleotides) under soil metagenome. RNAcentral's name for it is "partial contains 5.8S ribosomal RNA, internal transcribed spacer 2, and large subunit ribosomal RNA". The stretch from base 1 to 120 matches the Rfam family "5.8S ribosomal RNA", at positions 35 to 154 of the family's 154-position model. The record is from RNAcentral.
GAUGAAGAACGUAGCGAAAUGCGAUAAGUAGUGUGAAUUGCAGAAUUCAGUGAAUCAUCGAAUCUUUGAACGCACAUUGCGCCCGCUGGUAUUCCGGCGGGCAUGCCUGUUCGAGCGUCAUUUCAACCCUCAAACCCCCGGGUUUGGUGUUGGGGAUCGGCUCUGCCUCACGGCGGUGCCGCCCCCGAAAUACAUUGGCGGUCUCGCUGCAGCCUCCAUUGCGUAGUAGCUAACACCUCGCAACUGGAACGCGGCGCGGCCAUGCCGUAAAACCCCAACUUCUGAAUGUUGACCUCGGAUCAGGUAGGAAUACCCGCUGAACUUAAGCAUAUCAAUAAGCGGAGGA